RNAcentral lists this ribosomal RNA (254 nucleotides) under uncultured bacterium. RNAcentral describes it as "partial 16S ribosomal RNA". It matches the Rfam family "Bacterial small subunit ribosomal RNA", at positions 524 to 776 of the family's 1533-position model. The record is from RNAcentral.
UACGAAGGGGGCUAGCGUUGCUCGGAAUCACUGGGCGUAAAGGGUGCGUAGGCGGGUCUUUAAGUCAGGGGUGAAAUCCUGGAGCUCAACUCCAGAACUGCCUUUGAUACUGAGGAUCUUGAGUAUGGGGAGAGGUGAGUGGAACUGCGAGUGUAGAGGUGAAAUUCGUAGAUAUUCGCAAGAACACCAGUGGCGAAGGCGGCUCACUGGCCCAUUACUGACGCUGAGGCACGAAAGCGUGGGGAGCAAACAGG